GGAUGCGAUCAUACCAGCACUAAAGCACCGGAUCCCAUCAGAACUCCGAAGUUAAGCGUGCUUGGGCGAGAGUAGUAUUAGGAUGGGUGACCUCCUGGGAGGUCCUCGUGUUGCAUUCC
This 119-nucleotide ribosomal RNA is filed under the name Aegilops tauschii subsp. strangulata. Lineage: Eukaryota; Viridiplantae; Streptophyta; Magnoliopsida; Poales; Poaceae. The record is from RNAcentral.